Molecule: long non-coding RNA, 1731 nt
Organism: Sciurus carolinensis (gray squirrel)
Lineage: Eukaryota; Metazoa; Chordata; Mammalia; Rodentia; Sciuridae
Exons: 4
Source: RefSeq, a predicted model, not a curated record
GGGCAUUGUGCUUGCCCAUCAGCAGCAAGAACUGAAGCUGUCCAAGUGCCAAGUGGCUGUGCCUAAAGGUUUUACUUUCCUCCGAAGCUUGACUACAACUGAGUUUGCACAGAGAACCCCACAGGGAGAGAAAGUUGAGCCUCAGAGAAGGGCUGUUGGUCAGAGGUAACCAACUGCUAUUAUCUGCAGGGUAAAGGCUACAGGCACUUCCUGUGUGUAUGACAGACAGCUCUAUUUGGAGGUUCUCGAUAAACAACUAGCCAAGGGAACUUUCCCUGGAAAGCAUAACUGGCCAGCACUUGGACUUCCUGCUGGGAACUUCCCUCUUGCUUGACUUUGUGAAGUCCUUGUGGAAGCUCAAGAGCUCUGCUUGCCCUGAUUCCACCAUGGAAGUCAGCAGAAGUUUCUUUGGCCAGGUCUGUCAUCUUAGAACACUGGCAGGCACUGAGACUAAGAUCAAGUUCAGUCAAAAGAACUUUCUUUUCUAGGACUUUGAUGUGAAGAUAGAAUGAGUUUACCGUUCCUUCCCAUUACUGAAAGGAUACUCAACAUAGACUGUCUGGGUUCCUGUUUCCUGUCUGUUGACAGGUCAGGUUCUUGAACUUCCUCUUAAUUCUGAGUGCUUUCCUAUGCUCUUCCAAUAGUUUCCCUUUUCUCAAGUGGUCCCAACUCUGUUUCAGUUGUUUGUUCUCCCGCCCCCCCCGCCCCCAAAAGUGUUGGGUACCAGUUGAGCAGGAAACUGAGGGAACUAUGGUGAUUAAAUUGGCCAACUGGGUUAUGAAAGGACAGAAGGAGGAGAGAACACGGGUUGGAGAUCGCUGGGAAGCAGGGAAACACUGUGCAGCUGGUGUGACAGUAGCAAGAGAGCCAGGUACAGGUCACCAGGGCUACAGCACAAGUGAGACAGACUAGGCCCCAGAGACACAGUAUGAUGAGUGACAAUCCCAAAGAAUGUUCGUACUUCCUGACAGGUUCAGGGCUGUGGACUGACACUGGUAUAUCCUGAAACAGCUUCCAUACCACAGAAAACACUACCAGGAGAUGAAAGAGUCUUUUACCUCCUUCUUCAAAAUCAAUGCUUAAAAUAAAACAAUUAGAUUAUAGAUCACAAAGUAAUGUGCUGGAACAUUCUGAAGAAGUACAAAGCUUUUCUCUUGUCUCUUGCCAUGUGCUCACCUUUUCCACUGACUUGCCUGUACAAGGAAAUUAGGCUUACCAGUUUCAUUUUGCUUAUGGUUGAUUUUACGGGCCUAACUCAUCAUUAGGACUCUUUCCAUCUGAAUUCACGGACUCAAAACCCUUCCAUGAGUCUUACUUUCAUAAAUUCACUUGGAAUGAGCUCAUGUUAAAUUUUAUACAAUGUCAUUUUAAAAACCUAAAGUUAAAACCUAAAAUAAAAUUAUAUCUUCCAUUGAAGUUUUACUAAAAAUAAUUUUCUGGAUUAAUAAAUACUACCAGACCCAUGUUAUCUCAUUUGUCUGUAACUCAAAUUUGUAAGCAAACAAAUAAAUGGGAAGUAGUACACAUUUACCUGUCUAAUCAUACCUGAAUAGGGACUCUCUUGAUAGCCAAAUUUCAUUCUGUUUCACAGUUUUCCAAGAGAAAAGCAACAGCAGCAACACUGUGGACACAAUUAGGGUGGUGGCCCCACAUCGAUUUAGCCAAGUGCAGAGCUUGCUCAAUCCAUGCACAAAAAGGAUGCAGUAUCCCAUGCUGGAAAACAAGGUGGAA